This 171-nucleotide ribosomal RNA is filed under the name uncultured bacterium. Its description in RNAcentral is "partial 16S ribosomal RNA". It matches the Rfam family "Bacterial small subunit ribosomal RNA", at positions 1331 to 1500 of the family's 1533-position model. The record is from RNAcentral.
AUUGCUAGUAAUGGCAGGUCAGCAUACUGCCGUGAAUACGUUCCCGGGCCUUGUACACACCGCCCGUCACACCAUGAGAGUUGGAGAUACCCGAAGCCUAUGAGCUAACUUUAAUAGAGGCAGCAGUCGAAGGUAGAACUAAUGAUUGGGGUGAAGUCGUAACAAGGUACC